Molecule: non-coding RNA, 46 nt
Organism: Schistosoma curassoni
Lineage: Eukaryota; Metazoa; Platyhelminthes; Trematoda; Strigeidida; Schistosomatidae
Source: Rfam
AUCCAGCUGACGAGUCCCAAAUAGGACAAAAAUGCGCGUCCUGGAU